Molecule: transfer RNA, 70 nt
Filed under: Sphaerodactylus townsendi
Lineage: Eukaryota; Metazoa; Chordata; Lepidosauria; Squamata; Sphaerodactylidae
Description: tRNA-Ser
Rfam family: tRNA
About the family: Transfer RNA (tRNA) molecules are approximately 80 nucleotides in length. Their secondary structure includes four short double-helical elements and three loops (D, anti-codon, and T loops).
Source: RNAcentral
GGUCAUGGCUCAGUAAUACAGCAUCUGCUUGGAAUGCAGAGGAUCUCAGGUUCAAUUCCCGGCAUCUCCA